This 647-nucleotide unclassified non-coding RNA is filed under the name uncultured Prochlorococcus sp. Its description in RNAcentral is "partial 16S-23S ribosomal RNA intergenic spacer; may also contain 16S ribosomal RNA and 23S ribosomal RNA". The stretch from base 305 to 377 matches the Rfam family "tRNA". Lineage: Bacteria; Bacillati; Cyanobacteriota; Cyanophyceae; Synechococcales; Prochlorococcaceae. The record is from RNAcentral.
UUGUGGAGGAGGACGCCGAAGGUGGGGCUAAUGACUGGGGUGAAGUCGUAACAAGGUAGCCGUACCGGAAGGUGCGGCUGGAUCACCUCCUAACAGGGAGACAACAAAAUGUUAAAUAUUAAUUUUGUCACCUUAGGUCGAUCGGUAUCUCAGGUUCUUAAUUACUUUAAGAAUUUCAUUUCCUAAGUUUUUUCUAGGUCACACCCAUUACUUUUCCUGGGCCAUUAGCUCAGGUGGUUAGAGCGCACCCCUGAUAAGGGUGAGGUCCCUGGUUCAAGUCCAGGAUGGCCCAUAUCUCUAUGUUGGGGGUAUAGCUCAGUUGGUAGAGCGCCUGCUUUGCAAGCAGGAUGUCAGCGGUUCGAGUCCGCUUACCUCCACUGAUUACCACCUCUUCCAUAAAUUUAAAGAAGGGAAUUGUUAUUAGAUGUGAUUUAGUUCUGAACGAAUCUAGCUUCCUAAUAAAUAUAUUAAGAUGCUGGACUCAUUGAAUUUUAUUCAUUGUCUUCAGAGAACCUUGACAACUGCAUAGAUUAUUUUUAAAGACAAUAAGCAUCUUUAAUGAUGCAGAUUUAUUAUUUGUGCUAAUGCAUUAACAACAAUUCUAUUGAGCUGAUGCUUCAAUUUUGAAGUUAUUGGUCAAGCUACAA